RNAcentral lists this small nucleolar RNA (88 nucleotides) under Setaria italica (foxtail millet). Its description in RNAcentral is "Small nucleolar RNA Z247". It matches the Rfam family "Small nucleolar RNA Z247". From Rfam's summary of the family: Z247 is a member of the C/D class of snoRNA which contain the C (UGAUGA) and D (CUGA) box motifs. Most of the members of the box C/D family function in directing site-specific 2'-O-methylation of substrate RNAs. Lineage: Eukaryota; Viridiplantae; Streptophyta; Magnoliopsida; Poales; Poaceae. The record is from Rfam by way of RNAcentral.
UCCCUUGGUGAUGAAGAACUCGUUGGGUAUAUCCUGACGGGCUUUGAUGUUGAAUACAACCCACUCGUGACGGCGGUCAUCUCCAAGA